This 460-nucleotide ribosomal RNA is filed under the name uncultured bacterium. Its description in RNAcentral is "partial 16S ribosomal RNA". It matches the Rfam family "Bacterial small subunit ribosomal RNA", at positions 338 to 795 of the family's 1533-position model. The record is from RNAcentral.
CCUACGGUAGGCAGCAGUGAGGAAUAUUGGUCAAUGGGCGGAAGCCUGAACCAGCCAAGUAGCGUGCAGGAUGACGGCCCUACGGGUUGUAAACUGCUUUUAUACGGGAAUAACGCGCCUUACUUGUAGGGCUUUUCAUGUACCGUAUGAAUAAGGACCGGCUAUUUCCGUGCCAGCCGCCGCGGUAAUACGGAAGGUCCGGGCGUUAUCCGAAUUUAUUGGGGUUAACGGGAGCGUAGGCGGCAUGUCAAGCGUGCUGUGAAAUGUCCGGGCUCAACCCGGGCCUUGCAGCGCGAACUGGCGUGCUUGAGUCCGCGGAAAGCAGGCGGAAUUCGUCGUGUAGCGGUGAAAUGCUUAGAUAUGACGAAGAACCCCGAUUGCGAAGGCAGCUUGCUGCAGCGGAACUGACGCUGAUGCUCGAAAGCGCGGGUAUCGAACAGGAUUAGAUACCCCAGUAGUC